Molecule: small RNA, 649 nt
Filed under: Malus domestica (apple)
Lineage: Eukaryota; Viridiplantae; Streptophyta; Magnoliopsida; Rosales; Rosaceae
Description: sRNA MD05G0050100
Source: RNAcentral
GGGCUUCUCGCAUCCUAAUUGUUGAUGUUCCUUUGAACCCUUCAGUAACUCGCCAGGCAAUAGGCCGGACAUUUCGACCAGGACAAAAGAAGAAAGUAUACGUCUAUAGAUUGGUUGCUGCUGAUUCGCCUGAAGAGGAAAGUCGCUUAAUCUGCUGCAGGAAGGAAUUGAUUUUGAAGAGGUGGUUCGAGUGGAACGAGAGCUGUGGACAUCAAGACUUUGAUUUGAAGACUGUUGACUUGCAUGACUGUGGUGAUAUGUUCUUGGAAAGUCGAUUGUUGCAGGAAGAUGUAAAGGUUCUACAGAAAAGGUAAACCAUCCAGAGAGGCUAAGCCUUUGGGGGAAUGUAGAUAACCUAACACAAUAUGUCGUAACUAUGAAGGCUUCAUACUCAUCGUUUAAGGCUUUGGUCAGGGAUACCGUAGGCUCUGUAGGCAAGUCCCUUUUGAAAAAUGCAGAUGGUAGGUAAGAAACUGCUGUGCUCGGCUUCUCUUUCUUCUGUAUAUGAAUCUGCAGACUGCAAAUUUGUAACAACUGCAAGUUGACUUGGAUACUUUUAGGCUUUUAGCUGAUUCAGAUGCUCGUUAGCGUUAGAUCUUCUUAGUGAAAGUGUCGCCAAAUGUUCACCCAAAAGCAGGAAAAUUUGUCA